UUGGAGGGCAAGUCUGGUGCCAGCAGCCACGGUAAUUCCAGCUCCAAUAGCGUAUAUUAAAGUUGCUGCAGUUAAAAAGCUCGUAGUUGAAUUUCGGGACCAUCAUGUCGGUCGUGCCUCGGUACGUACUGGUAUUGUUGGUUUCUCCCUUCUGACGAACCAUGAUGUCAUUUAUUUGGUGUUGUGGGAAAUCAGGACUGUUACUUUGAAAAAAUUAGAGUGUUUAAAGCAGGCUCACGCUUGAAUACAUUAGCAUGGAAUAAUGAAAUAGGACGUUUGAUUCUAUUUUGUUGGUUUCUAGGAUCGACGUAAUGAUUAAUAGGGAUAGUUGGGGGCAUUAGUAUUCAAUUGUCAGAGGUGAAAUUCUUGGAUUUAUUGAAGACUAACUACUGCGAAAGCAUUUGCCAAGGAUGUUUUCAUUAAUCAAGAACGAAAGUUAGGGGAUCGAAGACGAUCAGAUACCGUCGUAGUCUUAACCAUAAACUAUGCCGACUUGGGAUCGGAUGAUGUUAAUUUUUUAAUGACUCAUUCGGCGCCUUACGGGAAAC
This 548-nucleotide ribosomal RNA is filed under the name uncultured Glomeromycotina. Its description in RNAcentral is "SSU rRNA". It matches the Rfam family "Eukaryotic small subunit ribosomal RNA", at positions 548 to 1098 of the family's 1831-position model. Lineage: Eukaryota; Fungi; Glomeromycota. The record is from RNAcentral.